This 202-nucleotide long non-coding RNA is filed under the name Lathyrus oleraceus (garden pea). RNAcentral's name for it is "Pisum sativum (pea) long non-coding RNA (PSAT_LNC023128)". Lineage: Eukaryota; Viridiplantae; Streptophyta; Magnoliopsida; Fabales; Fabaceae. The record is from RNAcentral.
AGAAAUAUAAAAUAGUAAAAUAAUUACCUUUAAAGAGAUGAAAUUUUGUAGAAUUAAACAAUGAAAGUUUAGAGGGAUGAAUGUCAGGAGGAAGAAAAAUGAAAAAAGUUUAGAUCGUGGAAGUGGAAAUGGUUGUAGUGUGAGAUUAACAAAGGAAUUUGCGAGGGGGCUCCACACACUCUUAAUCAGCCAUAUUUAGCUU